RNAcentral lists this ribosomal RNA (254 nucleotides) under uncultured bacterium. RNAcentral describes it as "partial 16S ribosomal RNA". It matches the Rfam family "Bacterial small subunit ribosomal RNA", at positions 524 to 776 of the family's 1533-position model. The record is from RNAcentral.
GACGUAGGGCGCGAGCGUUGUCCGGAUUUAUUGGGCGUAAAGAGCUCGUAGGCGGCUUGUCGCGUCGACUGUGAAAACCCGCGGCUCAACUGUGGGCUUGCAGUCGAUACGGGCAUCACUGGAGUUCGGCAGGGGAGACUGGAAUUCCUGGUGUAGCGGUGUAAUGCGCAGAUAUCAGGAGGAACACCGGUGGCGAAGGCGGGUCUCUGGGCCGAUACUGACGCUGAGGAGCGAAAGCGUGGGGAGCGAACAGG